GUGCCCACUUUGGCAGCAUAUAUACAAAAAAUUAAAACAACACAAAGAAGAUUAGCAUGGCCUCUGUGCAUGGAUGACAUGCAAAUUUGUGAAGCAUUUCAUAUUUUU
This is a small nuclear RNA of Gorilla gorilla gorilla (western lowland gorilla), 108 nucleotides long. Lineage: Eukaryota; Metazoa; Chordata; Mammalia; Primates; Hominidae. The record is from Ensembl.